Molecule: long non-coding RNA, 3986 nt
Filed under: Xyrichtys novacula (pearly razorfish)
Lineage: Eukaryota; Metazoa; Chordata; Actinopteri; Labriformes; Labridae
Source: RNAcentral
GAUUGGGAUUGAGAAACUGUUUCAGAUUGAACAGUUUUGGUCCAAAGAUGUUUGGAGGAUUUCAGAUUCUGAAUGUGUUAUUAAGGUCAGCAAACAACAGAGGAAGAGUGUGUUUCUUCUUUUAUUUAGAUAAAUACACAAACAAUCAACACAUAUUUACAGACAUAUACACACAGUGCAAGCUGUUUUAAAAUAUUUUUUGGUUAAGUGUUGUUUCACUGAUAUGGAGCUUUAAAAUGUAACAAAUCUGAAGGUAAACACUGGAAAGUUUGAUGCCUUUUUCGUCAUACUUAUAGGACAUUUUGUUAAUAACUUCUUUAUUUCCAAAGCAUAAGAAGGACUUGAAAUGAGAUGAGCGCUGGUAUUUCAUGAGGUAUUUGUCCUUUAACUGAACACAGCUUUCUGUCAGGAUUUUUUUUUAACUAUAUACUAGUCAAAUGUAAAUACAUCAUGUUGUUUUUCUAUCAGUCAAUUUAAGAUGUGCUUCCAGACAGAAGUAAGCAGCUGAUCAUGACACUAUGGAUGAUUGUUGUAUUUUAUGAAAUCCAGGAGGAUAAAACCUGAAUCCUGAACAACAUUCACUCUGAAGUGUCCAAAAAAGUAUCAGGACCUGAGAAAAGAAGAGAUUUAUUUUAAACAUAUUUGUAAAGAAAUGUCAGAGUUUAUCCCUGUCAGUCAACAUUUUAAUUAAAAACUCUAGUGUCUCACCAUCAUUGCGUUUAUGGUCUGUGAAGCCACCUCUCUGCAAGUAGUUUUCAUUUAAACGGUUUUGCACCUUCAGAAGAAAUGUUUGUGGGUGAGUAAACUCAUUCUACCACUGAACAAUGAAAUGAACUGAGAGCACAGAAAGUUUAAAACAUACCACAUCUGCUCCUCUGUUGUUUCUGCUCCUUCGUUUUCUCCUGAAAUUAAAGGUCAGCAAUGAAUAAAAACUAAGUGAUAUGACAGAGACAUUCAAUCAAUUUAAAAAUAAAAGAUCCUGUUUAUAUUGUCACAGCUUAAAACUUUACCUGGGGGUAAAUAUUCCCCUAUCUUCUGUCGGCAGCACCACACUCCAAGUGCAGAUAAAACAAACAAAUAAAACACAACAAGUACAACUACACAGACUAUCACUGUAGUCCUGUAUAAAUGGUGUGGUUCACACUGAGCAUCAGCUGACUCAGUUCCUGGUUUCAGCAGCCGCCACAGGCCUUCACAUCUGUAAAGAUAGAGGGACAUUUCUUAGAGGAACAUCUGGAGGAUCUGAUGAAUUCUCUGCUGCUGGAAGAAGAAUUCAGGACUGUGUGCAGUCAUCAUGAACUCGACCUCCUGUUUCAAACCAAACCAAAUAAAGAAGAUGGCUUCAUUAAAUUUCUGUGAAUAAGUUCAAACAUGACAGUUUGUUCAGAUAAUCAUGUGACUUUAUGUUUGAACUACUUAAGCAAAGAGCCUCCUGGCAGGAUUUCAGUGUUUUCAGCAUCAAUUAAAAACCUUUAAGGAUAAGAAUCUGUGAUAGUUUCUGUCACGACACAGGGAUCAAUAAAAACCUGAAAACUGUUUUAGGACCACACAUUAUAGAAAUGAUAAACAGAACAGAUUAAACUUGAUGCUCAAUCUAAGAGUCCAGGUUUUGGAGGUUUUUCAGACUUUGAUCUGAGGGCCAGUUUUUGAUAAAGUCUGUUAAAGCUGAAGUGAGCAGGAGGACUGAGAUCUGAACCUGUAAUGAACAGUAAUCCUCAGUGGAAGUCAGUGAUGAAGGGAUGAUUGAAGGAUUGACCUUUUGACAUGAAGCUGAACAUUAAAGCUACAGACUGAACUGACCAACACAGAAACAAAGACCUCAGAGAGACAGACGUUCAUGAUGAGGACUCAAAGAAGACUUUCCAACAUGAGCUCAAAGACUGAAACAUUUCCUCUGUCAGUUUAACCCUGAAUUUAACUUCCCCUUUAACUGAUCAGGUAGAUCUCACCUGGUGGACACUUAGGACAGCAUCUGGAUCCAACCUGAUACUGGUCUGGACCACAUGGGAGAGUCUGACCACGGAGGACCUACAGCAGGAGUAUCUGAGGAGACAGGGACACAGAUUUAGGUCGCAGUGAAGAUCUCAUGAAGUUUGAUAUCCAAACUGAUGAAAAGAUAUUCAGAGAUUUCUGUAAGAAGAUAUUUUACCAGCACUGCUGCAGCUGAUCCAGGUUUGACUCUCAUCUUUAAUGUGCAGGUUCACAGUUUCCUCUGGAUGAAGAUGAAAUCUCACUGAGAUCAAAGAGACAACUUCAUCUGGAGAGAAAAAAGAGCAAAUAUCCAUGCAGAGGUUACACAAAACUACUCAGUAUAUUAAUCCAGAUUAAAGAGUCCACAUAUGACCUGGUUUAGAUAAGCUUGAAAGCAGUUUGGUCUCAAAGUGACGGGAAAGUUUGUCUGUGUUUUAUGGCCCUUAAUCAAAGCUCAGCCUCACUCACUCAGAGGAGAAAAAGCUCAAAGUUCAGACAUUUGAUCUUGAUACCAGCUGAGGUGAACUCAUUAUAUUAUAAAACGGUUUUCUUAUCCUCACCAUGCAGAUGAAGUUACAGUUGUGACCUUAUGACUCCAGUGCAAAUCAAAGCCGAGCUGGACUCUGCUACUUUUCGUGUUUCCUGUAUGACAAGUUCCUCCCUGACUCCAACAUGGUUUCAGUGACUAAUUACCACCAUUCACAUCCAUCCAAAACCCAAAGUUUUGUUCUGUACACGUAUUAACUUCAGGUCAACAAAACCUUUUCUCCUUCUGAACAAAUCAUCUCAAGACCUGUAAAGUCCUUUUGGUGGCAGAGUCUGAAAGUCUGCUCAGAGGUUUGUUAAUAAAAUCUAACAAAGAAAGAAUAACUGAUGAAAAGAACAAAAACAAAAUAAAACAAAAAACAACCACCACAGACAUCAGAUCAGGACCAGGAGUUAAAGCAGGAUCACAAAACCCUCUUUACUUUGAGUCCUUUUAAAGUGGUCCAAUGUGGAGUUGAUAAAGUCAGCACUUCACCGUCUAACACACUCUGACUUUAACAAAGAGACAGCUGAAUCAGAGAGCAGCCAAACCUCCUCUCACUCCUCAGACACUAACAUACAUGCACAUACACAGACCAGAAGAGAAACAGGACGUCUGAAUUUCUGCAGAGCAAACUGAAACUUUGUUGUUAUAAUCAGUCAUCUUACCAGUGAUCUGGUCUUCUUCUCAAUGUUGAUGAGGGGAUCAUAGGAUGACAGGAUUAAAUCCAAGGAAAAAAACUCAUUCAGAAAACAGUUUGAUUUCAGUCACCAGAGAUUUGAUAAAGUUUGACAAAAAAAACUGACUUUAAACCUGGUGUAAAGUCUUCACACAGAGACCUGCUACAAAAGUGAAACGAAGAGGCUGAGGUGUUGUUGAUCAGGAGUGAGAAAUUUGGACUUUGACUCUAUAAAACAUUAUCAAUGAGAUUUUAUCAUACAUGAUAAAAACGUCUGACUGCAGUGGUGAUAUGUGCUUAUAGCAGAGAGUUUGAUGUGUUUGUCUAAUGACUGUAACUAUAAACCAGUUUAUAAGCAGGUCACAGAGGUUUCUUAUCUUAGUUCCUGGUUGUGGACAGUGUCUCUGUCUGAUGGAGGCUUACUGUCAAACAAAGACACUUAUUUUCCCUGUAAUCAUGGAGUCAUAUUAGUAAAAGAUAAAUGAAUAAACAGGAUCUUAGGAAGGAGCCGAAAAACAGAAGUCCAAAUCCAAAUCAUUAGUACGGAUGUAUCUGCAUGAAUUAACUCACAUCACCGAAAUAAGAACACAUUAUAGAUAUAAAGAUACAAAUCGUUAUACAUGCAAAUUUAUAACAAAUCAUAUCAAGAUUAAAUGCAUCUUCCAUUUUGAAUCUAACACCACAGAUAAGAGUUUAUUAAACACAACUUUCUAAAGACUGUAGCCUGAAUAAAGUAUCAACCACUGACGUAGCCAUCAGUUGAACCUGUAAAGGUAAUUUUUUUUUUACCUCCGGUAAGUCACAAAGACA